UAACCCGGGUGGAAAAACGUUUUAUUAAUUAAUCAAGAUAGAUUAAUUUACCCCCACCCCCCCGUGUCUAAAAUAUUAUAUACGUCAUUGCGUCACGACGUCACGCUGUUCUGCCGUCGCACCGUCACGUGAUAGAGUUGGAUAAACACAGCACAGUUGCUACCGGUAACAGCCGGAGGAGCACGCUGGUUGCUGCAGGUACGUUGCAUCAUUGCUCACUAAUAUAACAUCAUACACGCCGAAACUAAAUGCAACAACUAUCGAAGCUUAGGAGCCGACUACCGGAGCUGCUAAUUGCCUGAAACUGAGCUGUGCGCCACUUGAAUCACUGAAUUGGCCAGGUUGAUGGCGAGCUAAGCCUAGCCUGGGCACAAAGCCUGAGGACCCAGAAAGCAGUCAGCUCUAGUCGGGCUGGUAGGAGGCUUUUGUAUGCAGCCACAUUUUUUUCCCCCCCUAAACCUUUGCCUUGUGACUUCAUCUGCAUAUUAUAGAUGAUGUGCGCUUUCAAAUUAUAUAAUGCCAGUUGAUGAA
This is a long non-coding RNA of Larimichthys crocea (large yellow croaker), 531 nucleotides long. RefSeq lists it as uncharacterized. The record is from RefSeq and is a predicted model, not a curated record. NCBI's taxonomy places the organism in Eukaryota, Metazoa, Chordata, Actinopteri, Sciaenidae. The transcript has 2 exons.